GGGGGGCGGGAACGAGGGUUGGGACAUAUGAACGGUUGAGGCGUUCUGGCAAAGCGCAGUCCGUUUGGGAUACGUGUAUCAUACGUAAGGCUGGCUGUCAGCAUGGAUAGUGGGGAUUGAGGAUGAGAACGACAGAAGGGCUAGCGCAGACUUCGAGCCGGAUUGAAGGUGAUUGUGAGGACUCGAAAGCCAUCGAAAUGAUGUACCCAGUCACACGCACACACACACACACGCACACACACGCACAACUAAAACUUAACUUGUGUAAAUGAGUCUGGGAACUGGACGAAGCGGGGGGUGUGUGUGUGUGAGUCCUUGGUAACCGAUGACAACACUUUCUCUGUUAAUAAGCGCUCCUGUUGGUUUGCUGUACAUGCACUGCAUUUCUCUCCCACGUUGCCGACGGUUACAGAAAAAAUGUCAAAUCCUCCCUUACCUUCCUAACAAAGGUAAUAGCACAAGAAGUAGUGCAAUCGUAUUUUAUUUCUGAUGUACGAUUCAUCUCCUACAGACUCACGAGCUUUUAUCUUUGUUUUUUUCUUGUCAAAGAUGGUUAUUGCAGAAUGGAGAGCAGAACCUGGAUGAGAAGACUAGAUUUGCACACAGCAAAAAAUCGUUGAAGAUGUGGAUGGGAAAAAAAUGUAUGUAUUCAUGAACAUCGCAGCUGCCUGUGGAAUUGUGGAAUUAUUUUCUUUUUAUCUUCGGAAAGUGCUAAGUGCUGUUCUGUAUUAGACAUUUUGCAGAAAUAAAACAUACUUGCCAUUGUUUUUUGUUGGUAGUUAAUGCGGUUUGUUGGGGUUCAAAGUUUUGCAGAGUUGGGGUUCAAAUAAAUUCAUUGGCCA
Molecule: long non-coding RNA, 842 nt
Organism: Anguilla anguilla (European eel)
Lineage: Eukaryota; Metazoa; Chordata; Actinopteri; Anguilliformes; Anguillidae
Exons: 2
Source: RefSeq, a predicted model, not a curated record